GGUUGAUUUUGCAGAUUGGCUUUGAAGAUUAAAACUUUACAACGGUACCCUUGAAACCCAAAUCUGAUCAAAAAUGUGGAAGAAAACGUUGUUUUUUCAGACUCGAAGAAGAUUAUUUUAUGGAGAGCGUGCAUUUCGGUUCACUGUGAUCUGCUCCAGCCACUUCAGAGUUCCAUCAGUCCGGACCUUUUGAAGAAAAAGAAAAUAUGGUCUGUCAUCGGCUUAUAAUUAUUAAAAUUUAAACUUAAA
Long non-coding RNA from Eurytemora carolleeae, 249 nucleotides. RefSeq lists it as uncharacterized. NCBI's taxonomy places the organism in Eukaryota, Metazoa, Arthropoda, Copepoda, Calanoida, Temoridae. The record is from RefSeq and is a predicted model, not a curated record. The transcript is spliced from 2 exons.